This 506-nucleotide ribosomal RNA is filed under the name uncultured bacterium. Its description in RNAcentral is "partial 16S ribosomal RNA". It matches the Rfam family "Bacterial small subunit ribosomal RNA", at positions 29 to 523 of the family's 1533-position model. The record is from RNAcentral.
AGUGAACGCUGGCGGUAGGCCUAACACAUGCAAGUCGAACGGCAGCACAGGAGAGCUUGCUCUCUGGGUGGCGAGUGGCGGACGGGUGAGGAAUACAUCGGAAUCUACUCUGUCGUGGGGGAUAACGUAGGGAAACUUACGCUAAUACCGCAUACGACCUACGGGUGAAAGCAGGGGACCUUCGGGCCUUGCGCGAUUGAAUGAGCCGAUGUCGGAUUAGCUAGUUGGCGGGGUAAAGGCCCACCAAGGCGCCGAUCCGUAGCUGGUCUGAGAGGAGGAUCAGCCACACUGGAACUGAGACACGGUCCAGACUCCUACGGGAGGCAGCAGUGGGGAAUAUUGGACAAUGGGCGCAAGCCUGAUCCAGCCAUACCGCGUGGGUGAAGAAGGCCUUCGGGUUGUAAAGCCCUUUUGUUGGGAAAGAAAUCCAGCUGGCUAAUACCCGGUUGGGAUGACGGCACCCAAAGAAUAAGCACCGGCUAACUUCGUGCCAGCCGCCGCCGUAA